This 253-nucleotide ribosomal RNA is filed under the name uncultured bacterium. RNAcentral's name for it is "partial 16S ribosomal RNA". It matches the Rfam family "Bacterial small subunit ribosomal RNA", at positions 524 to 776 of the family's 1533-position model. The record is from RNAcentral.
UACGAAGGGGGCUAGCGUUGCUCGGAAUGACUGGGCGUAAAGGGCGCGUAGGCGGUUUGUACAGUCAGGCGUGAAAUUCCUGGGCUCAACCUGGGGGCUGCGUUUGAUACGUGCGGACUGGAGUGUGGAAGAGGGUCGUGGAAUUCCCAGUGUAGAGGUGAAAUUCGUAGAUAUUGGGAAGAACACCGGUGGCGAAGGCGGCGACCUGGUCCAUUACUGACGCUGAGGCGAGAAAGCGUGGGGAGCAAACAGG